UAGAACCUCAUCUGAUAUAUUAUGGUAACAAGAUGGCUCUAUGAGCUGGCCAUACUCAGUAGUCAGAGUGAAACCGGCCAUGUAAAAACGACAAAGCAUAGGAUUCAGUGUAGGAGCUUGGGCCCCGUGGUAUCAGUUGACUUACAGACUGAGUUCAACCACAUGGGCAACAUAUUAAUCAAUCAUACCUAUGCAAUAAAGUCUUCAUAAAAACUAUGGACAACAAAGUUCUGGUGAGCAUCAUGGGUUGGCAACACUCCAGACUUUGCAAAAAAGAAAGAAGAAAGUAAAUAAAUGAAAAUAGAAAGGAAGCUAGAGAAAGAGAGAAAGAAAGAAAGAAAGAGAGAGAAAGAGAGAAUGAAUGAGAGAAAGAAAGAAAGAGGAAGAGAAAGAGAGAGGAAGAAAGAAUAAAUGAGAGAGAAAAAAAGAAGAAAGAAAGAAAAAAGAAAGGAAGAGAGGAAGAAAAGAGAGAGAAAGAAUUUUUUUUCAUUUUACUUUCCCUGAAUCCUUCCCCAGGUAGUAGCUAUUUAUGGUAACUACCUAAACAUUACCAAAGUUUAUUUUUAUAUUUCUCUUUUGGUAUGAUUUUCCUACUGUGACUUAUACUACUAUGUGCUUUCAUAGUGUUUCUCACUUGACUGGAAGAGCGGUAGGAUGUAUCUGGACUCCACAAUGCUUUUAUAUUGCAGGAAUUCAAUAAAUGAUACAAAUGACUGGACACAGGCCAGAAUGUUUGGAUUCUGUUUAAAGUGAUGAAUAAAAUUUAUCUUUUGAUAA
This 777-nucleotide long non-coding RNA is filed under the name Homo sapiens (human). RNAcentral's name for it is "HSALNT0294435". Lineage: Eukaryota; Metazoa; Chordata; Mammalia; Primates; Hominidae. The record is from RNAcentral.